UAAAAUCCAUUCUCCAAUGCGAGCCGAUCCAGAUCGUGUUGUGAAGUGGUUACCCAGCCGCAGCACAAUCAUUGCUGCCCGAAUUGCAUCAGAGAAGUUGCUCAGGAGAGUCGGAGCUGGAUCGACCAAUCUUUUGGCUACAUGUUCCAUAAUCAAGAAGCAACAGAAAGGAAAUGAUGUGGACAUGUCAAACCUUAGAAAAGCAGCUGUUGAACAUCGGAAAUAUGUAAAAGGCACUACAAUGUAUCCUUUGGAGCACAAUCCAGGACAUGGCCAACUCUGCACAGUUCCCAACAAGUUGAUAGUCAGAAAACUAAAUUAACACGAAUUCAUUACACCAAACUUCAGGGUCAUGCUGUGAAAAAGCCCUGCGUUCUUUGGGAAGAUGGUCUGCCAACUUUUUCUUUUGGUGCACUUGUUGACCAUUCCCCACUGUCUUGAGAAUUUGCGUGCUUGCUACCUGAAUGUUUUGCUCAAAGUUGGUUACAAGUAUUGUUGACAAGGCCUUCUCGCGUCCAAGGUUAAGGUGGCUCGCUCUUCUCUUACCAAAAUUAUACAGCAGAGUUCUCUUUAUAUUCAUGUAUUCUUUUGGCGGCUUGUAUGGGACCAGGAUGACUCUCUUUCAGUUAGUUUAGCCUUUUAAAAUGUAAUGAGCAACCGGCUCUUUUCUCGUGGUGUUGGUUUUAAUAUAUGAAAUGAAGAA
This 703-nucleotide unclassified non-coding RNA is filed under the name Hevea brasiliensis (rubber tree). The record is from RNAcentral. Lineage: Eukaryota; Viridiplantae; Streptophyta; Magnoliopsida; Malpighiales; Euphorbiaceae.